GUGAAAUAAAUCACAAUAAAACAUACACCCCUUUGUUUGAACGUGAACAUUUCUCCCAUCCCCUUUGUAAAUGAAAAAACCCUUACCUCAAUUGGAGGAAAGGGUUUUUU
This 110-nucleotide small RNA is filed under the name Psychrobacillus insolitus. Its description in RNAcentral is "RNA Staph. aureus E". It matches the Rfam family "RNA Staph. aureus E (RoxS)". From Rfam's summary of the family: It was shown to be regulated by the presence of nitric oxide (NO). In Bacillus subtilis it controls expression of genes with functions related to oxidative stress and oxidation-reduction reactions and it was renamed RoxS (for related to oxidative stress). The record is from RNAcentral. Lineage: Bacteria; Bacillati; Bacillota; Bacilli; Caryophanales; Bacillaceae.